Molecule: ribosomal RNA, 491 nt
Filed under: uncultured bacterium
Lineage: Bacteria
Description: partial 16S ribosomal RNA
Rfam family: Bacterial small subunit ribosomal RNA
Source: RNAcentral
AGUGAACGCUGGCGGUAGGCCUAACACAUGCAAGUCGAACGGCAGCACAGUAAGAGCUUGCUCUUACGGGUGGCGAGUGGCGGACGGGUGAGGAAUACAUCGGAAUCUACUUUUUCGUGGGGGAUAACGUAGGGAAACUUACGCUAAUACCGCAUACGACCUACGGGUGAAAGCAGGGGAUCUUCGGACCUUGCGCGAUUGAAUGAGCCGAUGUCGGAUUAGCUAGUUGGCGGGGUAAAGGCCCACCAAGGCGACGAUCCGUAGCUGAUCUGAGAGGAUGAUCAGCCACACUGGAACUGAGACACGGUCCAGACUCCUACGGGAGGCAGCAGUGGGGAAUAUUGGACAAUGGGCGGAAGCCUGAUCCAGCCAUACCGCGUGGGUGAAGAAGGCCUUCGGGUUGUAAAGCCCUUUUGUUGGGAAAGAAAAGCAGCAGGUUAAUACCCCGCUGUUCUGACGGUACCCAAAGAAUAAGCACCGGCUAACUUCGU